Phyllostomus hastatus (greater spear-nosed bat) is the source of this 416-nucleotide long non-coding RNA. RefSeq lists it as uncharacterized. The transcript has 3 exons. NCBI's taxonomy places the organism in Eukaryota, Metazoa, Chordata, Mammalia, Chiroptera, Phyllostomidae. The record is from RefSeq and is a predicted model, not a curated record.
GGUUUACUCUCGCAGUCCCAGCUUCACAAAAAAGUGAAAGCACGUCACUGCGCAAGCGCGGCCACUGCUGCUGGACCGCAGAGCUGGCCGUGUCUAGGGACAACAAUGUAGAAUUCAUGCGUGGGACCCUAGCUGCUGGUUGCAAGAUAUCUUUUUACAGGCUCACCGUUCUCCUGUAGCUAUGGCCGCAGCUCCCGCCGUUCUCCUGCUCCUGCAGCGUAAACUCAUCACACACGCUGCACACGUGACUAGCGCGCUGGCUGGAGCGUAGGAGCUUGGAGCUCCGUGCAGCCGCCAGGGCCUUUCUUCUGUGCAAACCACUUCUCCUACCUGUUCUUCUUGUAAGGACGCCAGUCCUAUUGGAUUAGAGCCCCAGUCUUAUGGCCCCUUUUAACCGUGAUUUCCUCCUUAAAAGC